UUUAGUACCCCAAAUUAACGAGCGGUGUAGUGCUUGGUUAUGCAGGAGUUUAGAGGCUGGAGAAUCACCAGUGGGCUCUAUGCCUGUGCCAAGGUGCUGCUUCACUGGAUGUGCUCCAGAAGUCUCCUUUCUGUGUAGGCCUAUCUCCUUUUCUCGAAGCUGAACCUCCAGAGAGUCCUUUCUUGAGUUGUCCGGCAAGCUGACAGCAAACCACCCCAACAUCUCACCAAAAAGAUCACGGUUGCCUUCACCUGCACGAGGAACUCUGGACACCUCAUCUACAAAUUGAGCUGGUGAAGAGCUGGGGCACACAUAUAGGUCUGGCUAUCACCAACACUGUCCAUCCAAAGGGAUUCUGUCUGAAGUGAUCUGAAGAUGUGUAGAAGAGUGUGAGUGCUUCUCAUCAAAUCUCCAGAUAGUGGCAAGUUGAGACUCUACGGAUCAGCUAAUCAGCAGCCAACCUCGCUCUCCAUCCUUCCCUGCUGAGUGGGAGCUCUGCACCAGACGCCUCAGUGUCCUGGAGCCCUCUGCCAAGUAGCUGAUGUUGCUCUACAUGCCAUCUCCCACCUCCUCCUUCCGAAGACAGCAUGAUCACUGUCCCCAGUAUAUUUCCAAACAGAUGAUUAGCUAUGGAAUUGCCAGAUUUGGUCACCAGACAGAGGAAAAGAAGAUAAAUAAAAAUAAAAGGGAAAAUAAAAAGAAAAUUAGAAAGAAAAAAAAGAAAAAAGAAACAAGGAAAAGAGAAAGGAAAAGGGAAAGGGGAAGGGAAGAGGAAAUGGAAAAAGGGAAAAGAGAAAAGGGAAAAGGAAAAAGGAAAAAAGAAAAAGGAAAAAGGAAAGGGAAAAGGAAAAAGGAAAAAAGACAAAGAAGAAAAAGAA
Long non-coding RNA from Columba livia (rock pigeon), 878 nucleotides. RefSeq lists it as uncharacterized. The transcript is spliced from 4 exons. The record is from RefSeq and is a predicted model, not a curated record. Lineage: Eukaryota; Metazoa; Chordata; Aves; Columbiformes; Columbidae.